UAGGGAAUCUUCCGCAAUGGGCGAAAGCCUGACGGAGCAACGCCGCGUGAGUGAUGAAGGUCUUCGGAUCGUAAAACUCUGUUAUUAGGGAAGAACAUAUGUGUAAGUAACUGUGCACAUCUUGACGGUACCUAAUCAGAAAGCCACGGCUAACUACGUGCCAGCAGCCGCGGUAAUACGUAGGUGGCAAGCGUUGUCCGGAUUUAUUGGGCGUAAAGCGAGCGCAGGCGGUUUCUUAAGUCUGAUGUGAAAGCCCCCGGCUCAACCGGGGAGGGUCAUUGGAAACUGGGAGACUUGAGUGCAGAAGAGGAGAGUGGAAUUCCAUGUGUAGCGGUGAAAUGCGCAGAGAUAUGGAGGAACACCAGUGGCGAAGGCGACUUUCUGGUCUGUAACUGACGCUGAUGUGCGAAAGCGUGGGGAUCAAACAGG
This 429-nucleotide ribosomal RNA is filed under the name Staphylococcus sp. Its description in RNAcentral is "bacterial SSU rRNA". It matches the Rfam family "Bacterial small subunit ribosomal RNA", at positions 355 to 776 of the family's 1533-position model. Lineage: Bacteria; Bacillati; Bacillota; Bacilli; Caryophanales; Staphylococcaceae. The record is from RNAcentral.